RNAcentral lists this unclassified non-coding RNA (157 nucleotides) under uncultured Herpotrichiellaceae. RNAcentral describes it as "sequence contains ITS2". The record is from RNAcentral. Lineage: Eukaryota; Fungi; Ascomycota; Eurotiomycetes; Chaetothyriales; Herpotrichiellaceae.
UCAAAGUAUCAAGCUUGGCUUGUCGUUGGGCCCUUUGUCACCUGGUGACAGAUCCAUAAGAUAAUGACCGGUGUCAUAAAGACUCUUUAUGCAACGAGCUUAUAACAGCACGCAUCUAGUAGUUAUAUGGCCCGGUUGUCACCCCUUUAUUUAUCAA